RNAcentral lists this ribosomal RNA (593 nucleotides) under Ololygon carnevallii. RNAcentral describes it as "partial 16S ribosomal RNA". It matches the Rfam family "Bacterial large subunit ribosomal RNA", at positions 1893 to 2619 of the family's 2925-position model. The record is from RNAcentral. Lineage: Eukaryota; Metazoa; Chordata; Amphibia; Anura; Hylidae.
UCUUGAAUUAGAUAAGAGGUCCAGCCUGGCCAGUGACCCCAGUUCAACGGCCGCGGUAUCCUAACCGUGCAAAGGUAGCGUAAUCACUUGUUCUUUAAAUGAGGACUAGUAUGAAUGGCAUCACGAGAGUUUUACUGUCUCCUUUUUCUAAUCAGUGAAACUGUUCUCCCCGUGAAGAAACGGGGAUAAAUAUAUAAGACGAGAAGACCCUAUGGAGCUUUAAACUUUAUUUCAACUGCUUUCUCUUCAUAGCCGGCCCCGGCCUCUCUUAUUGAAUCAAGCAUCAUGAUAAUAGAUUUUAGGUUGGGGUGACCACGGAGCAUAAAAAAACCCCCGUGUUGAAUAAAAGGCCUCAUAGCCCUGAGCUAAGAGUUACAACUCCAAGCACUAACAAUUUAACAUCCAUUGACCCAAUAUUUUUGAUCAACGAACCAAGUUACCCUAGGGAUAACAGCGCAAUCUACUUUGAGAGCCCCUAUCGACAAGUAGGUUUACGACCUCGAUGUUGGAUCAGGGUAUCCCAGUGGUGCAGCCGCUACUAAAGGUUCGUUUGUUCAACGAUUAAAACCCUACGUGAUCUGAGUUCAGACCGG